Molecule: long non-coding RNA, 608 nt
Organism: Drosophila grimshawi
Lineage: Eukaryota; Metazoa; Arthropoda; Insecta; Diptera; Drosophilidae
Exons: 2
Source: RefSeq, a predicted model, not a curated record
AAAACGGAAAUGGGCAUUUUUAAAGUUAGAUGGAUUUGGUCACACUGGAUGUGUAUAUUCAGCAAGAUGCAAGUCUGACAGUCCGCCAUGUCUGUGUGAACGUGUGGCAGAAAACAAGCGUAAAAGAAAAAACUCAAAAUGAAAAACAAUACAUACGCAAAAAAUCGAUUAACCGAAAAGAAUUUUUUUUAUAAAUGCAAAUACAUAUCUCACACUCAAAAUAGGCGCAUUAAGAGCAACUAAAUGAAAAUGACGACGGGUGUGUGUAUGUGUGCGUGCGUGUACGUGUGACGUACGCGCGCCACAAAACGGAAUGCGCGAGAAUGGGCAAUGACAGAAAGAAGAGCAGCGCAAAGAGCAAGUGCUGAUAACAUGGCAGCGCUUUGGGCGCGCAUUGCCUAUGCAAACAAAUGAAACGGAAUGAAAUGCUAGCGAAGAGUACACGGCUAAUAGUGGGGGAGAAGGAGAAAGCAAAACAGCACAAGUCUUGUAAAUUGUGGAAUGAAACAAGCCGGCAGCACACACAAACAACAGUAAUAUGUUGACAAAAGAAAAAACUGACGUUUGUCGUUCUUAAAGAGCAAUAUAUUUGUUUGUGUUUUCUAUCA